Long non-coding RNA from Acanthochromis polyacanthus (spiny chromis), 1229 nucleotides. RefSeq lists it as uncharacterized. Lineage: Eukaryota; Metazoa; Chordata; Actinopteri; Pomacentridae. The transcript has 2 exons. The record is from RefSeq and is a predicted model, not a curated record.
CUGGAAAACAAUAUUUACAUUUAGGCAGUCCUGCGAUCGUCACACUUUUUCUGUUACGAACUGACCCCAGCCCCCCACCAGAGAAGGAAAAAGUUAUGCGGCCCUCACAGGAAAAAGUUUGGGGACCCCUGAUUUAAAACCUAUUUAGUUUUACAAUAACAAGACCUCAGUUUUUGUUACCUACACAAAUCCAUGUGUGUUAGUUCAUUUUUUUGAUGCCUACAGUUCAGUUCGACGAUACAAAAAGGUAAAAAUAAAGAAAACCCCUUUAUUAUGUAGGUAUCUAAACUUUGAAACAGUGCUGUGUAUGCAGUAUGUAAUGUGGUUCAUCUCACAAUGAUGAACCAAAUAAAAUGUAGUAGCAACAGUGGCAGUCACUGGGAGUUGUGUUUGUGUUCAGCUGAUGUUAAUCCAGUUUCUCUCUCAUUUACAUCUUCCUCCUCCUGAUUUUCAUUCUUGAAGUGCUAAAUGCUGCACUAUGUUCACAAGUUUGUCUCCUUGUGGCUAUACUGUACAGAAUCAGCUGUAAUGAAAGGUUUUCUCAUACAAGUGUCCUGUGCUUCUGUUUAUCUUUCAGGAAACAAGUAGUGGAGACCACAAAGGAAGGCAGUAAACCUAUGAAUUUGUCAUGGCCCCUCCCUCCCCUGUGCUGCACUUCUGGCCAGCUGUCAGCUUUGGCUGAUUCGGAGCGGCUGUGGAGGAGCACAGCUGUUCUGACUCUACAAUCAGCGGCUCCUAAAACCUGGCUCUCCUGACUACUCGGUGCUGGGCCAUUACCUGAAGUUCAUCUGUCUGGGUUGCUGCUGUCACAGUUGCUUCUGCCUCUGUCACCAGCCACUUAGUUUGAUGAUCCACCUGCUCCUGCCUGCUGCUGGAACCUGCCCUGAAUUCUGCCCUGGAUUCCUUCACACGUGCUGAAGCCCAGCCCGAGCAUCUUAGUUAGGGCAUUCGUUUGUAUAGACUUUGUUUUUGAGCCUUGCUUAAGUUCCCUUUUCUUAUAGUCAAAACAAGCCCUCUAGCUUUGUCUUUAGUUGUGUUCUCCAGAGUUUGAGUAGUCAUGUUAAUGAUUUUGUGUUCAGUUCUUAUCUGGGUGUGACCCCCUGUAGUUAUAGCCUCAGUUUGUUCCACCCACCACCAGUAGCAGCAUGCUCUCUGCCUUAGUACCCUGCUUGUAGUUUUCUGACUGCGAUUGUCACUUCAGCUUCUCGUAUUAAAGCCUUUUGAAUCAA